UAAAGGUUUGGUCCUGGCCUUUUUAUUAACUCUUAGUAGAUUUACACAUGCAAAUAUCCCUGUCCCAGUGAGAAUGCCCUCUAUAUCAAUAUGAUCAAAAGGUGCAGACAUCAAGCUCACUANAAUNAGUUGCUCAUGACGUCUUGCUUAACCACACCCCCACGGGACACAGCAGUGAUUAAAAUUAAGCNCAUGAACGAAAGUUUGACUAAGUCAUACUAANNUAACUGGGUUGGUAAAUUUCGUGCCAGCCACCGCGGUCAUACGAUUAACCCUAGUUAAUAAAAUACGGCGUAAAGCGUGAUUNNAAAAACUUAACCCAAUAAGAUUAAGCUCAGGCUAAGCUGUAAAAAGCCCUAGCCACGAUAAAAAUAACUNAACGAAAGUAAUCUUAAAAUGUUUGAACUCACGAUAGCUAAGACCCAAACUGGGAUUAGAUACCCCACUAUGCUUAGCCCUAAACAUUAAUAUUCAACUAACAAGACCAUUCGCCAGAGUACUACUAGCAACAGCCUAAAACUCAAAGGACUUGGCGGUGCUUUACAUCCCUCUAGAGGAGCCUGUUCUAUAAUCGAUAAACCCCGAUACACCUCACCACCUUUUGCAACUAUCAGCCUAUAUACCGCCAUCUUCAGCAAACCUUAACAAAGUCCCACAGUAAGCAUAAUAAUUANACAUAAAUACGUUAGGUCAAGGUGUAGCCUAUAGGGUGGGAAGAAAUGGGCUACAUUUUCUACACAUCAGAACAACUGCNCUACGAUAGCUCCCAUGAAAUUGUGAGCCUAAGGCGGAUUUAGUAGUAAGCUAGGAAUAGAGUGCCCAGCUGAAUCGGGCAAUAAAGCACGCACACACCGCCCGUCACCCUCUUCAAAUUCUAUAAAUAAGUUACANNNAUACUUAANUUCACUCUACCAAUAGUAUAAGAAGAGAUAAGUCGUAACAAGGUAAACAUACUGGAAAGUGUGUUUGGAAUAAU
RNAcentral lists this non-coding RNA (976 nucleotides) under Tamiops mcclellandii barbei. RNAcentral's name for it is "12S ribosomal RNA". It matches the Rfam family "Bacterial small subunit ribosomal RNA". The record is from RNAcentral. Lineage: Eukaryota; Metazoa; Chordata; Mammalia; Rodentia; Sciuridae.